UACGGAGGGUGCGAGCGUUAAUCGGAAUCACUGGGCGUAAAGCGCGCGUAGGCGGCUUUUCAAGCCAGGGGUGAAAUCCCACGGCCCAACCGUGGAACUGCCUUUGAAACUGUAGAGCUUGAGUGUCGGAGAGGGUGGCGGAAUUCCAGGUGUAGGAGUGAAAUCCGUAGAUAUCUGGAGGAACACCGGUGGCGAAGGCGGCCACCUGGACGACAACUGACGCUGAGGUGCGAAAGCGUGGGUAGCAAACAGG
This 253-nucleotide ribosomal RNA is filed under the name uncultured bacterium. RNAcentral describes it as "partial 16S ribosomal RNA". It matches the Rfam family "Bacterial small subunit ribosomal RNA", at positions 524 to 776 of the family's 1533-position model. The record is from RNAcentral.